GCAGCAGUGGGGAAUUUUGGACAAUGGGCGCAAGCCUGAUCCAGCAAUGCCGCGUGCAGGAAGGAGGCCUUCGGGUUGUAAACUGCUUUUGUCAGGGAAGAAAUCUUCUGGGCUAAUACCCCGGGAGGAUGACGGUACCUGAAGAAUAAGCACCGGCUAACUACGUGCCAGCAACCGCGGUAAUACGUAGGGUGCGAGCGUUAAUCGGAAUUACUGGGCGUAAAGCGUGCGCAGGCGGCUUUGCAAGACAGAGGUGAAAUCCCCGGGCUCAACCUGGGAACUGCCUUUGUGACUGCAAGGCUAGAGUACGGCAGAGGGGGAUGGAAUUCCGCGUGUAGCAGUGAAAUGCGUAGAUAUGCGGAGGAACACCGAUGGCGAAGGCAAUCCCCUGGGCCUGUACUGACGCUCAUGCACGAAAGCGUGGGGAGCAAACAGGAUUAGAUACCCUGGUAGUCCACGCCCUAAACGAUGUCAACUGGUUGUUGGACGGCUUGCUGUUCAGUAACGAAGCUAACGCGUGAAGUUGACCGCCUGGGGAGUACGGCCGCAAGGUUGAAACUCAAAUGAAUUGACGG
Molecule: ribosomal RNA, 575 nt
Filed under: uncultured bacterium
Lineage: Bacteria
Description: bacterial SSU rRNA
Rfam family: Bacterial small subunit ribosomal RNA
Source: RNAcentral